This 208-nucleotide ribosomal RNA is filed under the name uncultured bacterium. Its description in RNAcentral is "partial 16S ribosomal RNA". It matches the Rfam family "Bacterial small subunit ribosomal RNA", at positions 568 to 774 of the family's 1533-position model. The record is from RNAcentral.
UGCGUAGGCGGCUUUCUAAGUCGGAUGUGAAAACUCUGGGCUCAACCCAGAGCCUGCAUCCGAAACUGGAGAGCUAGGGUUCUGGAGGGGAAAGCGGAAUUCCUGGUGUAGCGGUGAAAUGCGUAGAUAUCAGGAGGAACACCGGUGGCGAAGGCGGCUUUCUGGACAGAUACCGACGCUGAGGCACGAAAGGCUAGGGGAGCAAACA